GACUCAAAGUUGAAGUAGAAUAGAUUGGCAGGAUCAGUUGACCAUACUAAUCCAUUUUACUUCAAGUUUGUGCCC
Non-coding RNA from Haemonchus placei, 75 nucleotides. The record is from Rfam. NCBI's taxonomy places the organism in Eukaryota, Metazoa, Nematoda, Chromadorea, Rhabditida, Trichostrongylidae.